AAAGACAUAAUAUCAUGAGAAAUAAUUGUUGUGUUGUGGUGGAUUAUAUUUUGAAAAAUUUGGUUUUGUGGAAGGUGGAGGAUAGAAUUGAGUAAGAAUGUUAUAAGGUUGGUGAUGAUGUUACUUUGAUUCGCAUCUUUUAGUCACUUAGCCAAAUAUAUCCUACCUUGCCAAAGAGCCUACAUUACAACCCUCAAUAAAGACCUUUUUGAUCUUGGUUAUAAGAGCACACGUUAAGUGGUGGAGAGGUGAGACAAUUGACAAGCUUAUGGAUGAGUACUUGUGUUGCUUGAAUUGAGCGUAUACACGUCCAUAUUUUUGAUUGAUACACUUGAGAGUUGAGAGAUCUUAAAUUCUUUAUCUUUUUGGUGAGGAUUUGUAACACCCCGUACUUUUCCUAUGAUGUGAGAUAGUGUCUUAACACUAUUAAGAGAACUGAGAUGUCGAGACGCGAGACUUUUUUUUUUAUGAUUAGAUAAGACAGUAUGUCUUUAAAUAGAGAUACGAGUGACUAAACCGAUGAUAGAGUUAGAAUGAUGAGAUUCGAGAAAUGAGCUGAGAUAGAGAUGCUGAUUGAAUUGGGUUGAGAUUUUAAUUUUAUUUCCGAUUACCGGGAAUAGAUUUAGCAGAUCCCGAGUUAUCAGAGAUUGACUGACCUAUUAAAGAGAAUAGGUAUAAUGAGUCUGACCUAGAGUCGAGGAAGAAAGAGUGAGAACCUUGAUGAAAAGAGUCGGUCCGAGAGAUGUCUAGUUUGUUUGGUUUGCCGACUGCUUUAAUGUGACAUUAUGUGAAAUUACGUGACUGAUCGAUUAUGUGAUUUUCGUGAUGUGUGUCACUGUGACCGAGUUAUUAUGAUUUUUAUUCGAGACCUUAGCAUUUGGAAUUUUGAUUAAGUUUCCAAAGCAAGUAUGGUUUAUUUUUAUCGAGAAAUCGAAUGAUGCCGGUUUAUGAAAAUUUUUCCGAGCAUAAUAUUUUUAAUUUAUUUUUUUUUUCCUACGGAGAGGAAUAUUAUAAUUGAGUGAGUGCACUAAUAAUAGUGCUAUAGUUAUUAUUUUGGUCACAUGAAUAAUUAUACUAUGGUAUUUUAUUAAUGAGUGACUUUUCCAUAGUUAUUGUGAUUUUUAUUUAAUCACCCUUCUCACACUUUAUUUUAAUUUCACUACCAUAUGUUAUAUGCCUUAAAUGACUAAGUAUGGAGUUGAGAGAGUAGAGAUUGAGAGUAUG
RNAcentral lists this long non-coding RNA (1224 nucleotides) under Salvia miltiorrhiza (redroot sage). RNAcentral describes it as "long non-coding RNA (SMIL_LNC012244)". The record is from RNAcentral. Lineage: Eukaryota; Viridiplantae; Streptophyta; Magnoliopsida; Lamiales; Lamiaceae.